Molecule: ribosomal RNA, 253 nt
Filed under: uncultured bacterium
Lineage: Bacteria
Description: partial 16S ribosomal RNA
Rfam family: Bacterial small subunit ribosomal RNA
Source: RNAcentral
UACGAAGGUCCCAAGCGUUAUCCGGAUUUAUUGGGCUUAAAGGGUGCGUAGGCGGGCUAUUAAGUCAGUGGUGAAAGCCCCAAGCUUAACUUGGGAACUGCCAUUGAUACUGAUGGUCUUGAGUACAUUUGAGGUGGGCGGAAUGUGUCAUGUAGCGGUGAAAUGCUUAGAUAUGACACAGAACACCGAUUGCGAAGGCAGCUCACUAGACUGUAACUGACGCUGAGGCACGAAAGCGUGGGGAGCAAACAGG